RNAcentral lists this ribosomal RNA (253 nucleotides) under Phocaeicola plebeius DSM 17135. RNAcentral's name for it is "partial 16S ribosomal RNA". It matches the Rfam family "Bacterial small subunit ribosomal RNA", at positions 524 to 776 of the family's 1533-position model. Lineage: Bacteria; Pseudomonadati; Bacteroidota; Bacteroidia; Bacteroidales; Bacteroidaceae. The record is from RNAcentral.
UACGGAGGAUGCGAGCGUUAUCCGGAUUUAUUGGGUUUAAAGGGAGCGCAGACGGGUUGUUAAGUCAGCUGUGAAAGUUUGGGGCUCAACCUUAAAAUUGCAGUUGAUACUGGCGUCCUUGAGUGCGGUUGAGGUGUGCGGAAUUCGUGGUGUAGCGGUGAAAUGCUUAGAUAUCACGAAGAACUCCGAUUGCGAAGGCAGCACACUAAUCCGUAACUGACGUUCAUGCUCGAAAGUGUGGGUAUCAAACAGG